RNAcentral lists this small nuclear RNA (23 nucleotides) under Arabidopsis thaliana (thale cress). RNAcentral describes it as "snRNA_10209". Lineage: Eukaryota; Viridiplantae; Streptophyta; Magnoliopsida; Brassicales; Brassicaceae. The record is from RNAcentral.
UUAGAUUAUUACUAGAUUUUAAC